RNAcentral lists this long non-coding RNA (859 nucleotides) under Vigna radiata. RNAcentral describes it as "long non-coding RNA (VRAD_LNC006612)". Lineage: Eukaryota; Viridiplantae; Streptophyta; Magnoliopsida; Fabales; Fabaceae. The record is from RNAcentral.
AAAAUUAGGCGCAACAAACAAACAAAAUCCAACUAAUAAAUAAAACCAAAAUUUAAGGGGAUGGGAAUUAUCAUACAAGCGAUGCCCAAAAUAAAAGAAACAACGCAAAAAUCAACCGAAUAAAAAAGGAAUAAGGAUAACAAAAACACGAUAAGAUAAAAAGGGUGCAGAAAUGUGAAACCAGGAGGUGCACACAAGUUUUGGUGUAGGCCCAAACCUUGUAUCCCAACCGGGGCAGCCAUGCCCUCCAUCACCGUCCCGUAUGCAAUGAGCAGCCAAGAAUCCCAAUCACAGAAGGUACAAUAUUCAAAAGAGCACGCUGUACAGCAGCCUUAGAGCCAUGGCCACGCUACUGAGAGUUGAGUAAAACGACCACGCACACAAUUAGAUCGUCCCUUUGUUUCUUCCAAAAUGUGAGAUCUCCUUUGGACUUUAGGAGAAGGAGGCGCGGUUCAACUCUGAGUGCAGCGCUUGAUGUUGGUGUUGGAGUUAGUGGAAAAUUGGAUGCAAAAAUGAGAGUGAGGGUGGAGGAAGAAGACACGACAGUGUCCGCCCUCCCAGAAAAAAAUAUUUUUUUCUCCCUUUUUAAGAGGAAAAAUGAUGAAUAAAGAUGGGUAAACGUGGUGAUUAAGGAAAUCUAAAAUGAAAUAAAUGGGAGAUAAAUUAAGGAAGGAAAAAUUUCAAUUCCAUGGAGGAUAGCCGUUUCGUGAAGAGUAAAAAAUGAAAAACUUUCAAAACAGAAUAAUAAAGUUUAAUCAAAUAAAAUUAAAUCACAUUAAUCAAAUCACAUCAACCAAUAAGAUAAAAUAAAAUUUAAUAAUAAAAAUCACAUAAAAUCUAAUAAAAUCACACGUUACCA